CUCCGGUUGAUCCUGCCGGACCCGACUGCUAUCGGAUUGAGAUUUAGCCAUGCGAGUCGAACGUCCCCCUGUUGCGGGGGGCGUGGCGUACGGCUCAGUAACACGUAGUCAACCUGCCCUGGAGACAAGGACAACCCCGGGAAACUGGGAUUAAUCCUUGAUAGGUCAUCUCAUCUGGAAGGAGAGAUGGCUUAAAGGGGUACGCGGGCUUCUUCCGCGAAUCUGCUCCAGGAUGGGACUGCGUCCGAUCAGGCUGUUGGCGGGGUAAUGGCCCACCAAACCUGUAACCGGUACGGGCCUUGAGAGAGGUGGCCCGGAGAUGGACACUGAGAGAAGGGUCCAGGUCCUACGGGGCGCAGCAGGCGCGAAACCUUCGCAAUGCGCGAAAGCGUGACGAGGUUAAUCCGAGUGACUCCCGCUGAGGGGGUCUUUUGUCAGCUGUAAAUAGGCAGGCGAAUAAGGGGAGGGCAAGCCUGGUGUCAGCCGCCGCGGUAAUACCAGCUCCUCGAGUGGUCGGGGCGAUUAUUGGGCCUAAAGCAUCCGUAGCCGGUUCCGUAGGUCCUCUGUUAAAUCCAACCGCUUAACGGUUGACCUGCAGAGGAUACCGCGGGACUAGGAGGCGGGAGAGGCGGACGGUACUCCGCGUGUAGGGGUAAAAUCCUUUGAUCCGCGGAAGACCACCAGUGGCGAAGGCGGUCCGCCAGAACGCGCUCGACGGUGAGGGAUGAAAGCUGGGGGAGCGAACCGGAUUAGAUACCCGGGUAGUCCCAGCCGUAAACGAUGCUAGCUAGAUGAUUCAUUCGCAAGUCGCGAAUGAAGUGUCGCAGGGAAGCCGUUAAGCUAGCCGCCUGGGGAGUACGGUCGCAAGACUGAAACUUAAAGGGAUUGGCGGGGGAGCA
RNAcentral lists this ribosomal RNA (899 nucleotides) under uncultured archaeon. Its description in RNAcentral is "bacterial SSU rRNA". It matches the Rfam family "Archaeal small subunit ribosomal RNA", at positions 1 to 878 of the family's 1478-position model. The record is from RNAcentral.